GAACGCUAGCGGCAGGCCUAAUACAUGCAAGUCGAACGAGAAGUUGUCUUUCGGGGCAACGGAAAGUGGCGCACGGGUGCGUAACGCGUAUGCAACCUACCCUCAACAGGGGGAUAGCCCGGAGAAAUCCGGAUUAAUACCCCGUAGUAUCCCGAUAACACAUGUUAUCGGGAUUAAAGAUUUAUCGGUUGGGGAUGGGCAUGCGUGACAUUAGCUGGUUGGUGGGGUAACGGCCCACCAAGGCGAUGAUGUCUAGGGGUUCUGAGAGGAUGAUCCCCCACACUGGUACUGAGA
This 294-nucleotide ribosomal RNA is filed under the name uncultured bacterium. RNAcentral's name for it is "partial 16S ribosomal RNA". It matches the Rfam family "Bacterial small subunit ribosomal RNA", at positions 31 to 324 of the family's 1533-position model. The record is from RNAcentral.